UACAGAGGGUGCGAGCGUUAAUCGGAAUGACUGGGCGUAAAGCGCGCGUAGGCGGUUAUACAAGUUGGGUGUGAAAUCCCUGGCGUUAACCUAGGAGUUGCAUUCAAACUAAUAUGACUUGAGUGAAGUAGAGGUGAGUGGAAUUUACCGGUACGUAGCGGUGAAAUGCGUAGAUACCGGAAGGAACACCAGUGGCGAAGGCGACUCACUGGGC
This 214-nucleotide ribosomal RNA is filed under the name uncultured bacterium. RNAcentral's name for it is "partial 16S ribosomal RNA". It matches the Rfam family "Bacterial small subunit ribosomal RNA", at positions 524 to 734 of the family's 1533-position model. The record is from RNAcentral.